GAGUUUGAUCCUGGCUCAGAUUGAACGCUGGCGGCAGGCCUAACACAUGCAAGUCGAGCGGAAACGAGUUAACUGAACCUUCGGGGAACGUUAACGGCGUCGAGCGGCGGACGGGUGAGUAAUGCCUGGGAAAUUGCCCUGAUGUGGGGGAUAACCAUUGGAAACGAUGGCUAAUACCGCAUAAUAGCUUCGGCUCAAAGAGGGGGACCUUCGGGCCUCUCGCGUCAGGAUAUGCCCAGGUGGGAUUAGCUAGUUGGUGAGGUAAUGGCUCACCAAGGCGACGAUCCCUAGCUGGUCUGAGAGGAUGAUCAGCCACACUGGAACUGAGACACGGUCCAGACUCCUACGGGAGGCAGCAGUGGGGAAUAUUGCACAAUGGGCGCAAGCCUGAUGCAGCCAUGCCGCGUGUAUGAAGAAGGCCUUCGGGUUGUAAAGUACUUUCAGCAGUGAGGAAGGUGGAUAUGU
This 465-nucleotide ribosomal RNA is filed under the name uncultured bacterium. RNAcentral describes it as "bacterial SSU rRNA". It matches the Rfam family "Bacterial small subunit ribosomal RNA", at positions 9 to 460 of the family's 1533-position model. The record is from RNAcentral.